RNAcentral lists this ribosomal RNA (469 nucleotides) under uncultured bacterium. RNAcentral describes it as "partial 16S ribosomal RNA". It matches the Rfam family "Bacterial small subunit ribosomal RNA", at positions 28 to 507 of the family's 1533-position model. The record is from RNAcentral.
GACGAACGCUGGCGGCGUGCUUAACACAUGCAAGUCGAACGAGGUCCAUUCAGUCGCAAGACUGCGGAAGAUCUAGUGGCGAACGGGUGCGUAACACGUGAGAAACCUGUCCCGGUCUCUGGAAUAACAAGUGGAAACACUUGCUAAUACCGGAUGCCGUCGGACCAUCGCAUGAUGGACUGACGAAAGGGCUACCGGAUCGGGAGGGUCUCGCGGCCUAUCAGCUUGUUGGUGAGGUAACGGCUCACCAAGGCAUCGACGGGUAGCUGGUCUGAGAGGAUGAUCAGCCACACUGGGACUGAGACACGGCCCAGACUCCUACGGGAGGCAGCAGUGGGGAAUCUUGCACAAUGGGCGAAAGCCUGAUGCAGCAACGCCGCGUGCGGGAAGAAGGCCCUAGGGUUGUAAACCGCUUUCAGCAGGGAAGAAACUGACGGUACCUGUAGAAGAAGGUGCGGCCAACUACGUG